AGACAGCUGCUCCCGGGGCCCCUCACUGGGCAUCCCCAACCGGGGUUCUGCCCGUCGGGUGGGGGUGUCCUCUCCCUCACCUGCCUCUCGGGGUUUUUCAGGCUCAGCAGCCACGAUGUGCGAGAAGACCCUCGGGAAACCAGAGCCGUGGAUGACUCGGUCCCGCGCUGUCACUGCAUGGAUGCUGGGGUUUGAGCAGAGUCCACACUGCACACUCUCGGGCCCUGAGGAGGCAGCAGGGAGAACAGAUGGCGCCUCGUGCUGCACCGCUGGUCCCUCCUGUUCCAGAAAGUUCCACAGCUGACGCUGAAGAUGCCUUGGAAGGUCACCUGGGCGAAGCACUCAGACCGUAGCGCACAGCCGUGCUCCCCACAC
Propithecus coquereli (Coquerel's sifaka) is the source of this 375-nucleotide long non-coding RNA. RefSeq lists it as uncharacterized. NCBI's taxonomy places the organism in Eukaryota, Metazoa, Chordata, Mammalia, Primates, Indriidae. The record is from RefSeq and is a predicted model, not a curated record. The transcript is spliced from 3 exons.